AAAUUGAAGAGUUUGAUCAUGGCUCAGAUUGAACGCUGGCGGCAGGCCUAACACAUGCAAGUCGAACGGUAGCACAGAGAGCUUGCUCUCGGGUGACGAGUGGCGGACGGGUGAGUAAUGUCUGGGAAACUGCCUGAUGGAGGGGGAUAACUACUGGAAACGGUAGCUAAUACCGCAUAACGUCGCAAGACCAAAGAGGGGGACCUUCGGGCCUCUUGCCAUCAGAUGUGCCCAGAUGGGAUUAGCUAGUAGGUGGGGUAACGGCUCACCUAGGCGACGAUCCCUAGCUGGUCUGAGAGGAUGACCAGCCACACUGGAACUGAGACACGGUCCAGACUCCUACGGGAGGCAGCAGUGGGGAAUAUUGCACAAUGGGCGCAAGCCUGAUGCAGCCAUGCCGCGUGUAUGAAGAAGGCCUUCGGGUUGUAAAGUACUUUCAGCGGGGAGGAAGGUGUUGCGGUUAAUAACCGCAGCAAUUGACGUUACCCGCAGAAGAAGCACCGGCUAACUCCGUGCCAGCAGCCGCGGUAAUACGGAGGGUGCAAGCGUUAAUCGGAAUUACUGGGCGUAAAGCGCACGCAGGCGGUCUGUCAAGUCGGAUGUGAAAUCCCCGGGCUCAACCUGGGAACUGCAUUCGAAACUGGCAGGCUAGAGUCUUGUAGAGGGGGGUAGAAUUCCAGGUGUAGCGGUGAAAUGCGUAGAGAUCUGGAGGAAUACCGGUGGCGAAGGCGGCCCCCUGGACAAAGACUGACGCUCAGGUGCGAAAGCGUGGGGAGCAAACAGGAUUAGAUACCCUGGUAGUCCACGCCGUAAACGAUGUCGACUUGGAGGUUGUGCCCUUGAGGCGUGGCUUCCGGAGCUAACGCGUUAAGUCGACCGCCUGGGGAGUACGGCCGCAAGGUUAAAACUCAAAUGAAUUGACGGGGGCCCGCACAAGCGGUGGAGCAUGUGGUUUAAUUCGAUGCAACGCGAAGAACCUUACCUACUCUUGACAUCCAGAGAACUUAGCAGAGAUGCUUUGGUGCCUUCGGGAACUCUGAGACAGGUGCUGCAUGGCUGUCGUCAGCUCGUGUUGUGAAAUGUUGGGUUAAGUCCCGCAACGAGCGCAACCCUUAUCCUUUGUUGCCAGCGGUCCGGCCGGGAACUCAAAGGAGACUGCCAGUGAUAAACUGGAGGAAGGUGGGGAUGACGUCAAGUCAUCAUGGCCCUUACGAGUAGGGCUACACACGUGCUACAAUGGCGCAUACAAAGAGAAGCGAACUCGCGAGAGCAAGCGGACCUCAUAAAGUGCGUCGUAGUCCGGAUUGGAGUCUGCAACUCGACUCCAUGAAGUCGGAAUCGCUAGUAAUCGUAGAUCAGAAUGCUACGGUGAAUACGUUCCCGGGCCUUGUACACACCGCCCGUCACACCAUGGGAGUGGGUUGCAAAAGAAGUAGGUAGCUUAACCUUCGGGAGGGCGCUUACCACUUUGUGAUUCAUGACUGGGGUGAAGUCGUAACAAGGUAACCGUAGGGGAACCUGCGGUUGGAUCACCUCCUUACCUUAAAGAA
RNAcentral lists this ribosomal RNA (1550 nucleotides) under Enterobacter ludwigii. RNAcentral's name for it is "bacterial SSU rRNA". It matches the Rfam family "Bacterial small subunit ribosomal RNA". Lineage: Bacteria; Pseudomonadati; Pseudomonadota; Gammaproteobacteria; Enterobacterales; Enterobacteriaceae. The record is from RNAcentral.